UGGAGCCGUAGUUCAGCUUGGGUAGAACGCUAGCCUGUCACGCUAGAGGUCGCGAGUUCGAGUCUCGUCGGCUCCGG
Molecule: transfer RNA, 77 nt
Filed under: subsurface metagenome
Description: tRNA-Asp
Rfam family: tRNA
About the family: Transfer RNA (tRNA) molecules are approximately 80 nucleotides in length. Their secondary structure includes four short double-helical elements and three loops (D, anti-codon, and T loops).
Source: RNAcentral